Molecule: ribosomal RNA, 497 nt
Filed under: uncultured bacterium
Lineage: Bacteria
Description: partial 16S ribosomal RNA
Rfam family: Bacterial small subunit ribosomal RNA
Source: RNAcentral
GAUGAACGCUGGCGGCGUGCCUAAUACAUGCAAGUCGAGCGACCAGACGAGGAGCUUGCUCCUCUGACGUUAGCGGCGGACGGGUGAGUAACACGUGGAUAACCUACCUAUAUGACUGGGAUAACUUCGGGAAACCGGAGCUAAUACCGGAUAAUAUAUUCAACCGCAUGGUUCAAUAGUGAAAGACGGUUUUGCUGUCACUUAUAGAUGGAUCCGCGCCGCAUUAGCUAGUUGGUAAGGUAACGGCUUACCAAGGCAACGAUGCGUAGCCGACCUGAGAGGGUGAUCGGCCACACUGGAACUGAGACACGGUCCAGACUCCUACGGGAGGCAGCAGUAGGGAAUCUUCCGCAAUGGGCGAAAGCCUGACGGAGCAACGCCGCGUGAGUGAUGAAGGUCUUCGGAUCGUAAAACUCUGUUAUUAGGGAAGAACAAAUGUGUAAGUAACUAUGCACGUCUUGACGGUACCUAAUCAGAAAGCCACGGCUAACUACGUG